GACGAACGCUGGCGGCGUGCUUAACACAUGCAAGUCGAACGGAAAGGCCCUGCUUUUGUGUGUUUCUCGUUUGGCGAACGCGUGAGUAUCACGUGUGUAACCUCCCCUUGUCUUUCUGAUAUCUUUUCGAAACUCGGGCUAUUACCCGAUAGGAUCUUCUGCUGCAUGGUGUUGGUUGGUAAGUUUCGGCGUUUGGGGAUGUUCUCGCUGGUUAUCCGCUUGUUGGUGGGGUAGUGGCUUACAAAGGCUUUGACGGGUAGCCGACCUGAGAGGGUGACCGGCCACAAUGGGACUGAGAGACGGCCCAGACUCCUACGGGAGGCAGCAGUGGGGAAUAUUGCACAAUGGGCGGAAGCCUGAUGCAGCAACGCCGCGUGCGGGAUGACGGCCUACGGGUUGUAAACAGCUUUCGACUGUGACGAAGAGUGAGUGACGGUAAUGGGUAAAGAAGCACCGGCUAACUACGUG
This 468-nucleotide ribosomal RNA is filed under the name uncultured bacterium. RNAcentral's name for it is "partial 16S ribosomal RNA". It matches the Rfam family "Bacterial small subunit ribosomal RNA", at positions 28 to 507 of the family's 1533-position model. The record is from RNAcentral.